ACCAACACUGGCAAGGAGCACGCCUGGAAAGUGUGUAUACGGCAACGUAUCGGGGGUUCGAAUCCCCCCCUCACCGCCA
Molecule: transfer RNA, 79 nt
Filed under: Salmonella enterica subsp. enterica serovar Worthington
Lineage: Bacteria; Pseudomonadati; Pseudomonadota; Gammaproteobacteria; Enterobacterales; Enterobacteriaceae
Description: tRNA-Ser
Source: RNAcentral